CUUAUCAUGGCUGCGGGCGUGGGCGUCUUCAAGCUUCUUGUGGUUGCGGCAGUUCUCAUGUUCACAUUUGUUGCUAGCAUUGAGUCUGCGCGUGUCUUUGGAGGGGACUUUAUUCAACUAGUUCAAGGUGGUAGCAAUCCAAGUUUGAAGUGCCAAGACACAGGAGAUCCUUGCACGCAGAAUAAGGAUUGCUGCAAAGGAGGGUGUCUGUAUCAAGUUGGAAUUUGUGUUGGCUGGUAGGUGCCAAAAUGACAUUGUGCCAUAAGGUUUCCUCUUGCUUGCAUCCUGGUCACAAUGUCACAACUUCUAGAAGAGGGUUUCUUCCAGUUGUGCAGAUCUACAGAUUGACACAAGCUAUUGGAACAAUAGCACUGAAUAAUGAUUGAAAGAAGAAUUUCAGUGCUCCCCAAUUCUUGAAGGUCCCCAUUUUUCUUCCAAUUCUGUUGUUUGAGGACAGUCUUAUGACCUUAUACUCUUUCUUUUUUUUUUUGGUUUUUUCUUCUCCUUAGUCACUUCUUGGCUUGCGAUCAUCUAGGAGCACAAGUUUGUAAGCAAGCUUGUAAAUCUCAUUGGUGUUGUUAUGCGGACAUGGCAAUAGUUUUUAUGUAUAUGUACCUAGAGUUGAGACAUACACUCCUUGUAUGCUGAUCUCUCCACUACUUUUAUCUUAUCAGAACAAUUAGCUCCUUGAUCUUGGGCAUGGGAUUUGUUAAUCAAGAGGCCAAUGACAAAGAGGAUGAGUUUUUUAUUACAAUCCCUCUUGGGAUGUUUGAUGAGGUGUUGGAUGUGUUAGAGGUUUGAAGUAUCACAAACUUGAUUAUAGGUAUUAAAAAUUAUGUCUUUCUACUGCUAAAAAGUCAAUAUUGUUAGACCCUUUGCCAAAUUAACAUAAACCAAAAGGGCACUAAAGAAGAAAAUUUUAAUUAUUAGUUUGCACUUAUUACUAUUGGGUUUGUGAUAUUGAGUUUGGUCCCUCAAUAUUCGCUAAAUAAUAACUUACUGUGUUUAUUAAAAAUACUCUUGUUCAUGUGUUAAUCCCAUUUUGGUUCUAUAUAAUAAUUAUGGAAAGUAUAUAAAUCUGCUACUUAAACAUAUCUAGGAAAUGUAAAGAGUGUUAUUCCCAAAUUCAUAAUUUAUCAUCAUUUUAUAUUUAAUAAUUUUUUUAGAUUAUCCUAAAGAAUAAAUCCUAGGAUUUGGGUGAAAGCCUAAAGCAUGCAUAAAAAAAUUUAAAUAUAUAAUAAAGAUGGGUAAAUUGGGUAUGGAUGACUAACUUGAGAUAUUAUAUAGCUUCUAACAGAUAUUAUGACUUGAGAUAUUAUAUAGUUUUAUGUAUAACUUGGGUUUAACCCCAAACUCCAUACCAUGUUCGUUUGUAGAGUACUUCAUAUCCUUCUGUUAUGCAAAAAUAACUCCUGUUAUACUAAAAUAAUAUUAAACUUUAUUUGGCUUUAUUUUGCAUAUUAGUCUUGGCAUUGGGAUAUUGAAUGCUCUAAAAUUAUUUCAAUGUUACUUUAUGCAUUUUUAUUCCUUCACUCUUUAGUUGUACACUUAUAAUAAAACUCAAGUUUUAUUUUGUUGCAUUUACCACAUAUGUCCAAGGGUUAAGUUUUGCCCUAUAGUAAAUUACUAUAAGGUAUAGAGUGAAAACCAUAUACACUACAUAAUAGGUGAUUAAGAUAUUUUAACAACCCACAUCAAGAAUUGGGUCAAGAUUCAAGAACUAGUUCUUUACAUGAAUCUUCAGCAAUUUGGAAAGAUUCUUAUGAAGAUUCAAGUGCUUAAUAGCAAUAGAAGUGAGAGCCUAAUAGUAAACCAUAUACUAAGAUUGAAACCAUAAUAAUGAGCAAGAGUGGGUGUGUAAAUAAAGCUAAAAGUAGUUGAUUGAUGAGUUUUUUAAAUGUGUUCCCCAUACUUAUUAUCUCAUACUAACUAGGCAUGGUUUAAACUUUGAUUCAACCUUGAAUCAACCACUUGAUUAUGAGCGAAAGUGUUUGCGCUAAAGAUGAUAUCAUAUGUAAUUAUGCCUAUGUGGUAGUAGCUUCUAUAUAUAUGUACCCAUUUAUAUAAAGUUCAAAUAUUUUCUUCCUCCUCAUGUAUGCAUCUCUCCACUACUUUCAAAGCAUAGUAAAACCUGGAAAAGGUAAUUUUUUUGUUGAUCACUCUUUCUAUUUCAAUUGACAAGAUUGAAUUAUGUCAAUAUAAUAUACUCUUGACCGAAGUAUAUUUCUACCCUAAAUUGGAAAUUGUAUGUAUUAGGCAUUCAUGCGUCUUGUGGAGUAUCUAUAAACAAAAGUAUUUACUAUGGGACCAAAGCAAAUAAUAUAGGUUUGAUUCCCAUUGAUUAGUAGCUAUUUAAAAUAUACAGACAAAAGUAUCUAUGGUGGGACUGUGGCUCAAUAGGGGUAAAAGGACAAUAAGGACAUUCACAUUUUUGCAAUGGAGUAUCUACAAACAAAAGUAUCUACUGUGAAACCAUAACUUAGUAGGGGUGAAAGGAUAAUAAAGACAUUUACAUCUCUAAAGUAGAGUAUCUAUAGACAAAAAUAUCUACUAUAGGACCAUGGCUCAAUAAAGCUGAAAGGACAAUAAGGAUGGGACUGUAGCUUAGUAGGGGUGAAAGGAUAAUAAAGAUAUUUACAUCUUUGAAGUGGAAUAUCUACAAACAAAAGUAUUUACUGUGGGACCAUAGCUUAGUAGGGGUGAAAGGAUAAUAAAGACAUUUAUAUCUCUGAAGUGGAGUAUCUACAAACAAAAGUAUCUAUUGUGGGACCAUAGUGUAAGCCACAAAUUUUUCUUUUCCAAUUUGCCAGCUUACCUCGUCUAUCCGUCCAACACCGCCUUGGCCUUUGCUAAGUUCCCUUGCCAAGGUUCUCGCCUAUGGUACUAGCUCCUACUUGGUCUCAGCUACUUACUGCACGAGCAACGGAGUGUUAGCCAUCCAUCUACGGAUUCCCAAAUCACUCCCAAUCCCCCUCCCCGGGUUAGACUGGACUUAAGGUUCGGCUACACUCCCCGCAAGCACAAGCAGCCAAGCACACCAAGCUUCCAGGUUCCUAACUUCCCUCGGUACCACAAGACUUGAUCAUGGGACCCUCUAAAUCCCAAGUCUUGAGUGCAACACUUGCUUCGGGACGCCGGGGCGAAACACCGUGGCCUAGCGGCCCGGUAUGGGUACCUCUCGCCCCCCACUUCCAUCCCGAAGGAAGGCCCAAGCCCCUAGGAAGGGCGAGGACCAAUGAGCCGCAUGGUACUCAAGUGGGGCACCACUCCACAUGAGCUGGGAGCACCGCAAUUGGUUUCCCUUUCGGGAGUGGGAGCUGCUCUUGAGCACUUCCUUGGAUGGCCCCUCCGGCACCAGCCAAGUCCAUGCUCACUCCCACCCAAGGCCCCUCGGUCCCAGUCCCAACCUCAAGUCAGUUUGGAAGCCCAACUGGAGAGUCCCUUCAAAACUGGUUCCUGGACCUCACUAUCCCUACUAUACUUUUGGAACCCCCUGCAGCCCCCCCCCCCCCCUGGGAGACGCACGCUUUGGGCUUUCACCCCUUGACCCGUAUUAGUAUUUGGACUUAGUCUCUGGCUCGAUCUCGGACCCGAUUUCGGAUCCGACUUCGGAUUCGGGUUUGGACUCGAUUCCGGACUCGAUCUCGGACCCGAUCUUGGACCCGACCUCGGACUCGACCUCGGACUCGGUCUUGGACCCGAUUUCGGAUCUCGGACUCCGUCUCGAACUCGGUCUCGAACUCGGACUCGAACUCGGCCCCCGAGCCGGUCUCGGACUCGAUUUCGGACUCCAUCCUGAACUCGGUCCUAGAGUCGGUCUUGGACUCGAUCUUCGACUUGGUCCCAUCCGAUGAACUCUUUGUCAUUUUGGUCAUGCUUUCGGGGUUCCUUUAGCCUACGACACCUCGGCGAGUUGGUUCCUUACAACUCCACCACCCAUAGAAGAAGUUCGAUGCCCACAUCGAACGUCUCGUUUUAUCCUACGACUUGUUGACCAUGUCUCCGGGGGCAUCCCCCCACUUAGCGGUGUGCCUAAGUUAGCCUCCCCGGCCAAGAGCCCAUGACAACGGAAUAUAGAUGUCCCUAUACUCCUCCCCUCACCACGUCCUAGUAUAGGGUCGGGACUUGAACCCAGCCUUGCUUUACUAGGGGGUUGGGACUUGAACCCAACCUCCGUAGAAUACGUCUACGGUUUCGACAUCCCCGCAGGGAGUCGGGCGUAGCUCCCUACGCCUGGUCGACCUAGCUAACCCAUGCUAAUUAGCUUACCUUCGGCGCGCCUUCGGGUCCCAAUAUAUGCCAUUGCUCAACUUCUCAAAUUGAUACUUUUAAUUGAACUUUGCAUAAGUACAUAGAGUUCUGCCAUGCAGAAAUUCCUCCACUAGAUCUCGCGCGUUCACUAGGUUCUCCUCUGGUUCCCAUGUUGCUUCGCAGUGUGGAAAUCCUUUCCACUUCACAUGGAACUCUCUCACCUCGUGUCCUUGUCGCUUGCUCUUGCGCGCAUUGAGGAUGGCCUCGACUUCGUAUUCCUCUUCCCCUUGGAUAACCUCAGGUAAAGGUAUUACUUGGUCCUUGCGAAGCGGAUCCUCAAAGUACGGCUUGAGUAAGUUCACGUGGAACACUGGGUGCAUCUUCCCCAUCUCUCGAGGAAGUCGGAGUCGGUAAGCCACUUUACCGAUUCGUGCCUCAAUCUCGUAAGGCCCCGCGAACCUGCUUAAGGAACUCAAGAUCAAUUCAUUUACAGGAAUACAUGCAUUUUUACCUUUGGGUCAACUUUCGGCUGAUCCCACUUGGUAGCCUGAGGUUCUUGGUGUUCAGCCACACCUUCUCCCCAGCUUGGAACUCCACAUCUCGGCGCUUUAGGUUCGCAUACUUGGUUUGCCUUUGUUGAGCCCGUUCCAAGGAAUCCCUCACUAGAUUCCAAAUGUUGAGUCUUUCCGCCGUAAAUGCCUCCACUGCGGGUAGCUCUCCAUGAUACUCGGCCACGCCGAGUUCCACAGGACCUUCAAUAGCUCGCCCAUUGAUGACUUCCCAUGGACUCACCCCGAUACUCGAAUGUGGUGAGUUGUUAUAACACAUUUCCGCAAGUCCCAAAUGACUUACCCAGUCGGUCUGGUCUCCCGAGACAUAGCAUCGCAAAUAAUCCUCCAGCUGCCUAUUCACCCUUUCCGUUUGUCCGUCUGUCAAGAAGUGUUAGUGCCAUCAAUCUUGACUCAAUACCCAUUACCUGUUUGUGGGUGAUAGGCCGUGCUGAAUUUCAACUUGGUGCGAUACUGUUCUAGGAGUGUCCUCCAGAACCUACUGGUGAAGAUCUUAUCUCGAUCUGAGAUAAUCUCUUCUGGCCUUCCCCGCACUCGAACCACUUGUUCGAAGAACAGCUUCGCCACACCUUCCGCAUCCACAUCCGUUGUGGUGGGUAUGAAAUGUGCCAUCUUUGAAAAUCGGUCCACCACCACGAAUAUAGCAUCGAACCCCUCGCUUGGGGGUAGUCCCGUGAUGAAGUCCAUCGUGAGACAUUUCCACGGACGAUCUGGAAUGGGGAUGCUUUGCAACAAGCCCCCACUAGCCUUCGUCACGGCUUUGACCUGCUGACAUGUUGGACAUGUCUUUACAUAGUCUUGGACGUCCUUAGCCAUAUCUGGCCAGUGAUACUUCCUUUUGAGUAAGCCCAUCGUCUUGGGCACUCCGCCGUGUCCCGCGAGAGGUCCGUCAUGACACUCUUCCAAGGCUACCUUCCUUAGUUCCCCUUCUGGAACAUACACCCUCGUUUGCUUGUAAUAUAUGAGUCCGUUGCGUUCCGCAUAGCCCGUUUUCUCUUCCGUUGGCAGCUCACCUCUCUGGUGAGCUUCCCGCGCCUCCAGAUUCCUCAGCAACACUUCUUGUGCUAGACCAUCACUCUCGUAUGCGGUCCGCACAUCGUCCCAAAAGGUUGCUGUCGCGCUAGAUAUCGCCAACUUCAAGCUCGCUUUUCGACUUAGCGCAUCUGCCACGAUGUUGCUCUUCCCAGGCUUGUACAGGAUCUCGCAAUCAAACUCGGCCAAAGCAUUGGCCCACCGACCUUGUUUUCCCCUUAGGUCGGGCUGUGACAAGAAGUGUUUCGUUGCCACAUUGUCCGUGUAAACCUUGAAGUGUCUCCCAAGGUAGUGUCGCCACUCCUUGAGCGCCUUGACCACCGCAAACAAUUCCUUCUCGUGGGCAGGCCACUUCCGUUGAGCCUUGUCCAGCUUCUUCGAGAAGAACGCUACUGGAUGGUUGUCUUGCUUCAAAACUGCGCCCAACGCAAAGUCCGAAGCAUCCGUGUCUACCUCAAAGUCCUUACCAAAGUCUGGUAAUGCCAACACCGGAGCCUUCCUCAACUUCCCCUUGAGGUGGACGAAUGCCGCCUCGCAUUCCGCUGUCCAUACCAUCUUCCCUUUUCCUGUUUGGUCCGUUAAGGGCAGGGCUACUCUCGAAUAGUGUCUGAUAAACUUUCGAUAGUAGUUGCAUAGCCCCAGGAACGCCCUCAACUCAUGUACAUUCGAUGGUCGUUCCCAUUCCUGGAUCGCUUGGACCUUCUUCGGGUCCACCUUGAGCCCGUCCUGGCCCACCACAUGCCCGAGAAACUUUACCUCUUGUUGAGCAAAGUCACAUUUGCUCUCUUUAGCAUACAGUUUGUGUUCCCUUAGUUUCUCAAACACUUUCGCCAAGUGUUCGGCAUGCUCCUCUAGCGUCUCGCUAUAGAUCAGGAUGUCGUCAAUAUAGACGACCACGAAGCGAUCCAGAUAGGGUACAAAGAUGUGGUUCAUCAACGCCGAAAACGUUGCCGGCGCAUUGCACAGCCCAAAGGGCAUCACCAGAAACUCAAAGCUCCCAUACCUCGUUCGACAGGUUGUCUUCUCGACAUCUUCCUCAGCUACCCUGAUCUAGUAGUAUCCUGACCUUAGGUCAAUCCUCGAGAAGUAUUUUGCCUUUCCCAACCUAUCGAACAGGUCCUCGAUCCUUGGCAAAGGGUACUUGUUCUUCUUGGUAUACUUGUUGAGCAACCGGUAGUCUAUGCACAUGCGCAUAGAUCCAUCUUUCUUUUUCACAAAUAGCACCGGCGCCCCAUACGGCGACUUACUCAACCUAACAUACCCUUUGUCCACCAACUCCUCUAGUUGGCUCUUGAGCUCCUUGAGUUCUUUUUCGUUCAAUCGGUAGAGUGGGCGAACCACCGCCUCAACACCCUCGACCAGCUCAAUCUUAUGUUUUAUCGGUCGUGCGGGGGGCAACCCCGCCGGUAGCUCCUCCGGCAUCGUAUCCUGGAAUUGGUCCAGCACCUGCUGGAUCACUAAAGGUACUUCUUCCGUUCUUGUCUUUUUGUCACUCUUCACCGAGAGUAAGCACAAAAAGGCUGCCUUAGUUCCUUUAGUGAGUUGUCCUCUCGUGGACACCAGGUUUAAGCAUGACUCUUUGGCCUUGCUUUGCCCUACCUUUAGAUCUUGGGCCUCCACCCUAGAUCUUCUUCCUUGGGCAUUCGCCAAUACCACAAGGUUCCUACCUUGUCCAUGCAGGGCUACCACGAACCGAUUAAACAAAUCCAUUCCGAAGAUCACGUCAAAUCUCGCCAUGUCCAAGACGGUGAAAUCCAUGUCCACUUUCCAUGUCCCCACUUCGACUCUCGCUUGUCGAAGUACCUCAUCGGUGCUUUGGCUACCUUGAACAAACUCUAUAGUCCUUGGUUCGCCUAGCCGCUGCACCGUUAGUCCGGCUUGCCGGACUAUGUCUGCAGCCACAAAAUUAUCCGAAGCACCCGUGUCAAUAAGGAUCUUAACAAAGCUACCUCCGAGCUUCCCUCGGAGGGCUAGUAGAUGUCGCGAACGACUCUCUACCAAAGUUGCUCGUGUAAUGAGUAACUUUGAGUUAGGGACUGGAUCACAUACCUCAGUUUGGACUUCACCCGACUUGAUGGCCAUAUUGGCUCUGGCCUUCUUCGGGUAGGGACAUUCCCUCGAGAAGUGUCCCGCUUCGCCGCAGUUGUAGCAUAUGUUGUUUCCCACGCUGCUAUACGACUUGACCUUCUUAUCCAUGGGUUUGUCUUUUUUCGCUUGACUCCCCCACGUACUCGCUCGCUGGCCACCGGAUUUGCCUUUCCGGAACCCCGAGGACUCAUUCUUAGAGAAACUCUUUUUGAAUUUCCCCUUGCUAUACGUUCCCCUUGGUUUGGCCCCUUUGCUAAAUGUGGAUCCCGACCCCGUCGUGUUCCCCUUUCGCAGGUUAUCGUUGAAAUGCACCUUGAUGGCCGCAUCCAACGCUUCUUUGUAGUUGAUCGGGUUCCACCGCAUCACCUCACCGCGAGCCCAGGUUUGCAAACCUGAUAUGAAGGCAUGGAACGCAUCCAUAUCCCCCAUGUCCGUGACAAGUAUCCUCUUUGCCAUGAACCCAUUCACAUAUUCCUGGAUGGUUCCAGUCUGCUUCAGCCUACUCAGCUCAUCUCUCAGAUGUAGAGUGGCAUUCGGAGGAACGUAUGUUGCGCGGAUCCUCGCCUUCAUCAUGUCCCAAGUGGCCACUAGUCCUUCGUUGGCCUCCGUCGUUCUCCACCAAGACUUGGCAUUAUCUGCCAAGUAUGGUUUUGCACAUGGGACCUUCUCCGAGCUCGGUAACCGCAACGCUCGGAAGUAGUCCUCCAUAUCGUAAAACCAAUCCUCCACCACCUUAUAGUCAUUCACUCCCUUGAAGACCGGUGGGGGCUUCGGUUUGUACUUGGGAACUGCCUGAGGGACUGAUUCUACUUCGGUCUGUUCGACCUUGUCUGGUUUUGCCUCAGUCCCGGCCGAAAGAUCCGCACCUUCUGCGCUGCCAGCAUCCGCAGUCUUUUUCUUUUUCUUCUGCCUCUCGUCACGCUUUAGCUUGCGUACGAGAGUUUCCAGCAGGGCAUUGGUCUGUGCCAAUUGUCCUUCUAGCACGUCCAAUCGAGCCUUGGACGACCGAACCUCGCCACCGGACUCUUGUUUGGAAGUUUCCUCACUAGAGUCCUCCUCAUGCAAGGAUUCCUCAUCCAUAGCCUCUUGUUCGACCGGAGGCUCCAGCUCCGGCGGAGGUUCCGUCUCCGCCUGGGUUCGCUUACGCCCUGCCCUUGCCAUCUCCCAGCAAUCCGCCUCUAUCCUUCGCUAGAACUGAGAUAAAGGCUCCGAUACCAAAUUGUAAGCCACAAAUUUUUCCUUUCCAAUUUGCCAGCUUACCUCGUCUAUCCGUCCAACACCGCCUUGGCCUUUGCUAAGUUCCCUUGCCAAGGUUCUCGCCUAUGGUACCAGCUCCUACUUGAUCUCAGCUACUUACUGCACGAGCAACGGAGUGUUAGCCAUCCAUCUACGGAUUCCCAAAUCACUCCCAAUCCCCCUCCCCGGGUUAGACUGGACUUAAGGUUCGGCUACACUCCCCGCAAGCACAAGCAGCCAAGCACACCAAGCUUCCAGGUUCCUAACUUCCCUCGGUACCACAAGACUUGAUCAUGGGACCCUCUAAAUCCCAAGUCUUGAGUGCAACACUUGCUUCGGGACGCCGGGGCGAAACACCGUGGCCUAGCGGCCCGGUAUGGGUACCUCUCGCCCCCCACUUCCAUCCCGAAGGAAGGCCCAAGCCCCUAGGAAGGGCGAGGACCAAUGAGCCGCAUGGUAUUCAAGUGGGGCACCACUCCACAUGAGCCGGGAGCACCGCAAUUGGUUUCCCUUUCGGGAGUGGGAGCUGCUCUUGAGCACUUCCUUGGAUGGCCCCUCCGGCACCAGCCAAGUCCAUGCUCACUCCCACCCAAGGCCCCUCGGUCCCAGUCCCAACCUCAAGUCAGUUUGGAAGCCCAACUGGAGAGUCCCUUCAAAACUGGUUCCUGGACCUCACUAUCCCUACUAUACUUUUGGAACCCCCUGCAGCCCCCCCCCCCCUGGGAGACGCACGCUUUGGGCUUUCACCCCUUGACCCGUAUUAGUAUUUGGACUUAGUCUCUGGCUCGAUCUCGGACCCGAUUUCGGAUCCGACUUCGGAUUCGGGUUCGGACUCGAUUCCGGACUCGAUCUCGGACCCGAUCUCGGACCCGACCUCGGACUCGACCUCGGACUCGGUCUUGGACCCGAUUUCGGAUCUCGGACUCCAUCUCGAACUCGGUCUCGAACUCGGACUCGAACUCGGCCCCCGAGCCGGUCUCGGACUCGAUUCCGGACUCCAUCCCGAACUCGGUCCUAGAGUCGGUCUUGGACUCGAUCUUCGACUUGGUCCCAUCCGAUGAACUCUUUGUCAUUUUGGUCAUGCUUUCGGGGUUCCUUUAGCCUACGACACCUCGGUGAGUUGGUUCCUUACACAUAGCUCAGUAGAGGUGAAAGGACAAUAAGGACAUUUACAUAUCUAAAGUGGAGUAUCUACAAACAGAAGUAUUUAUUGUGGGACCAUAGCUUAGUAGGGGUGAAAGGACAAUGAGGACAUUUACAUCUCUGAAGUGGGUGUGAGUAUCUAUUAUGGGACUGUGGCUCAAUAGGGUGAAAGGACAAUAAGAACAUUUAUAUCUCAUGUGAUCAUAGGAUAAAUAGAGAUAAAAUAGCCACUAAAGGUUCUUUAAUUAAGUAAUUACCCCUUUUCCAAUUGACUUUAAGGGCUACCACCAAUUUUUAUAGGAUAUAUAUCUUUUUUUAUUGGUGUUCUACCAUCUGUAACUGAUAUAGAGUGUAAUUAUGACAUCAAUUGAAGAGUUAUAAAUGAUGCAAUUUAGUUAUUAGACAAUGUUAAAAGAUUGAGUUUAUAUGAAAAUGUGAAGUAGAUUCCUCUUAAUAAAGAAUUUGAUUACUAUAAGGAUAACUUUAAAGAUGAGUUGGAGAUUUGAUAAGAUAGAUAUUAAUCAUUUAAUUUGCCAUUUGAUCCUUUUUAUGGCCUUUUAAUCUUUCUUAACUUUUUUCUUAUUUCUUAGCCUAAGCCAUCUUCUCAUUUGCAAUAUUUUCUGUUUUUGAUAUAUAAAUAUGAUUUUUAUUUUUAAUUUGAUGUUGAGUUAAGUGUUUUUUGUCCUCCUCAUAUUAAUCUAAAUGCUAAGUAUAUGUGUGAAGUUAAGAAUCUUACUUUUAUUUUAUUAGUAGAAUCUUUAACACCCAAAGUUCAAUGUAGUCUCAUAUUUGGAAAAUUCAGGUUCAACUUGUUUAAAUUAUCACAUUACUUUUCAAUUGUCAUAAUUAACUCACAAAAAUUGUCCGUUCAUACAUUUCCUAUUACCAAAAUACACAAAUAAAUUUAUAAACCAUGUCCUAGUUUGCUAAUUUACUAAGAAAAGAAACAUUUUUAUCCUCAUUAAUGUGAGAUUUGAGAUUUAUCAUAUUUUAAAUAGCCACUAAUCAAUGGGAAUUGAACUUAUGUCAUUUGCUCCAAUACCACAUGUAGCACACUCUAUUUCUCUCCUCUUAAGCCAAUUGGAAAAAAGGGUAAUUGCUUGAUAAAAGAGUUCUUAGUGGUUAUUUUAUCUCUAUUUAUCACGUAAGGUUUAAAAGAUCCACAGUGAUAGUAUAUUUGAAUCUCAUCCCAUGAUCAUAUGUGCUAUAAUAACAAUACAUUAAAGAUAAGAAACAUUAAUAUAAUCACAUCCCACAGCACCAAAAACUCAAUCCAACGAAGCAACACCAAUAUCCUCAAGUAAUGAUAGUAUGGUAUGGUGAAAAAAAAAGAAUGUGAAGAUUGAGAAGGAAGAAUAAAUUUUAUAACUAUAAUCUUAGAUUUGGCAAAAAGUUAACAUAAAUCUAAAUCUAAAAGAGAAUAAAAGAACAAAAAUAAAAACAUAAUUACAAACAGUCCAUAACAUUGAGUAAAUCACUAUCAAAAACUUUCCUCUCCAACAAAAAAACUUUGCACUCUUAAAUACAGAUUGCAAUUCCACUAAUAUAAGCAUUCAAAAUAUCAAAAUAAAUAUCUUAAUUGGGAUUCCUUUGUUAUAUACAAGAAUGUGUGAGUACAUGGAAUGUAGAAAUAGAAUAUAAAAAUAUCCAUAUCAAUUAGCCCAAAAACCAUAACUUAUAUACAAAAGCAAGUGGUUCAGAUUGAAACCAAUUCAAUAGCUAUUAAAAUCCUUCUAUACUAAUAUUAAUAUAUGGUAUUGUAGCUAUACAUUUGGAACUCACAUCAUCCCUUCCUUUCGGAAUGAUGGAAGAUAGUUAGGGUUAUGUAAUGGAUGGGUUGGGAUCUAGAGGAAUAUCAAGAGGAAGCAUUGGUAGAUCUAUAGGUGAUGCUAGUUGUUCAUAAUCUCUUUGUAUGAAGCAUUUCAGCCGUUGCAUAUGAACAAUUUUUGAAAGAUUGACUUGUUGGACAUUAUGUUGAACCUCAUAAACUUGCAAUCUAAUUUGCCGCAACACUUGAUAUGAUCCCUUCCAUUGAGCAAGGAGCCUCUUAGACAAACCACAUACCAUAAGAUUGGGAAAAUGAACUAACACAAAGUCAUCCACUUUGUACUUUGCAAGUAGACAAUGAUGGGAGUUGUAGUGUCAUUGUUGUCCCACUUGUAUGCGGCCCAGGUGUUCGGAAAACUUUGCUCAGACAAGUGGAAAAAUGCUUUUCAAAUAUUAAUCCCAAAACCUAGCAUCGACAGCUCGUGGCAAUCAUGAAGGGAAACUCAACUUCGUUAGUAGUAUUGGAUCAUGACCAUAUAAGAGUUUAUAUGGUGAAGCACCAAUAGAACUUUGCAUCUUUGUGACAUAUGCAUAUCAAAGAGAUGGCAAAUAACUAUCCCAAUCUAAAUAUUGAAAGUUCACAUACUUUGCAAUCAUCCCUUUGAAGGUCCAAAUGAGCCAUUCCACUAAACCAUAUGACUGUAGAUAAUAAACAUUUGUAAAAGUGUGGUGUAUCCUCAACUAAGAUAUCAAAAUGUGAAAAUCCUUAGCUAUAAAUGUAGGAUUAUUAUCUGAAAGAAUUCACUCCGGACAAGAAUGCUAGAACACUACUCGAUUAAGGAGGAAGUAUCUAACAACAGUUGCAAACACACUAGUAAGAGCACUGACUUUCACCUAGUGAGUCAUAGUCAAAAGCAAUAAUGACAUACUCAUUGCUAGUAAUUGACUGUGGAAAAGGCCCCAUCAAAUCAAAUGCCACUAACUAAAAUGGACAAGAAGUUGCAAUUGACUCCAACUAUCCUUUCGUAGCACAAGAGGGAGUAUUAUGAGCUUAGCACUAAAUGCAGCUACACAUAUGCCAGAUAAUAUUAUAUUGCAUCUCUGGCCAAUAAAAAGACCUAUGCAACUUCUCGAUCACAUGAUAAUAUCCCACAUGCUCAUCUAGAAUAGGAGAAUCAUGGUAAGCAUGAAAAAAGCGUGGAAUAAAGAUAAAAGGCAUCACCAGCUGUAAAUGAUUAUUAGGAUCUAUCCCCUAUAAAUGCUGAAAUAGCAAGUUAUUAGCAAGUGAUGUAAGAUUCUCAAACCUAUUGCAAAGCUUUCGAAUCCAUGGCUCAUCUUUUAAGCCUCACAAAUCUUAUCAAGAAAAGGUAAAUUUUACUCUACACCUUAUGGACAUUAAAUAUCAAGUACAACAAUUGCCGAUGGCACAGAAUCCUUAUCCAAAAAAUCCAUAAAUAUUGGAAUAAUAGACUUAUCAAAAACAUGAGAAAAGAACAAAGAAGGAAAAGGAGUUCAAGAAAGGGCAUCAUCAUUAGCUAUAAAAUUCCUUAGACAAUGAACAACAUCAAAAUUAUAUAUAUAAAGCUUCAAAGCUCAUCAAGCCGUACGAUUAACCAAGUUCUUCUGCUUAAAUAAUAAAGUAACUAUAGUAUAAUCACCUUUUAGUAAUGUUUGAGAACCAUGUAAAUAUACAUAAAGUUUCUCGAAACCCCCCAACAACUUUCUAGUGGAUAAUGGACAAGGUUCUUUGUGAUAUGCCAAAAGUCACUGCUAACUUCAUCGAUGAUGUCUUGAUCCACUUAGAAGGGACGUAGGAGGAACACAUAUGUAAUGUUCAUAAAGUGUUAGAUUGGCUACGGGAAGUUGGUUUAAAGUUGAAGUGAUUAAAGUGGUUGAAGUGUGUGUUUGGUUCCAAGGACACAACUUCUCUUGAAUAUUAUAUUUUUCGUAAUAGUUUGUAAGUUGGUUUUAACAAACUUGUGGCUGUUUCAAAGUCCUUUAUGCCGACGUGUGCGAAUGAUAUGCAAUACUUCCUAGGCAAGGUGCAAUAUCUCAAUUGUUUUGUUGAUCAUCUUUCUAGUCAUACUACACUAUUGUGAGUAUUGUUAAAGUCAUCAAUAUCAUCUUUCAUCUGGUAUGUGGACUGUAAACGGGCUCUCAAAAAGUUAUUGAUAACUCCUUUAGUUUUGGCAUAUCCUAACUAUACUUGACUUUUCAUUUUGCAUAUGGAUGUUUCUAAUAUCAAUUUUGAAGGUGUGUCAAUGCAAGAGAGCUUGAGUAUGCCUAAUCAGUGCCAUCCCAUUGCAUAUAUCAGCUAGACAUUACAAUCAUCAGAGUUGAACUACUCCACAAUAGAGAAGGAGUGUUUAUGUUUAGUAACAAUUUAGCACUGUUCAAAUCAAAUAGCAUCUCUAAACAUUCGUACAAACCAAAUGAUAUACAAAAAGCAAUCAAAGGAAUAUCUUCCUCAGCCAUCAACACUUGCCAGUACCUAAAAGCAAAAUCUAGCUUGGUAAAUCAAUGACUUCUCCCUAGAUGAUCUAAAAGAUGACUAGUGUGAAGAAGAAGGUACAUAUCCAAAAUCAUCACUUUGUUUAACGGAUGAUAGUCGAUGCAAAAACAAAUACUCUCAUUAUGCUUCAUCACAAAAUGAGGUUCACACGUCUAAAGAUUCUGUGACUUUUGAAUAACACCUUUUUCCAACAUCUCCUUAACGUUGAUAUGUAAAAUUAUGAUCUUUUUUGGUGACCGACAACAAACGAAAACUUUGAUUGGACAAGCAUCCCCAAUUGGAAUAGGAUGACGUGUUACAAUUUUGGCCCUAGAUAACAGAUCAAAUUCAAAAAGAUCAAUAUACUCCUUCAUGAACUGGUCAAUUGCUACAACACAAAGAUUGUCAGUGGGAUCCAAAAAAGGAACAAAAGAACAAAAUGAAAAUAUAAGAAAAAGUAAUGGAGAGAUAAAAGUGAUGGAAACAAAAGUAGAAAUAAGAUGAAAAGAUAUAAAAGUGAGAGGAAUAAAAGAAAUAUAAAAAAGUAUAAAACAAAAGUGAGAAGCCUCAAAAUCACAUUUGGCAUUAUUGUGCCACAACAAAUCUAUACCAAGAAUGAGGUCAAAAACUUGAUUUGGCACCACCCGCAAUGAUUGCAACUCAAGUUUGAGAUCUCCCACACACAUAACUAGAUCCACCUCAUCCUAUGUACAUACGUGUGUAGCCGUUGCCAUAAAGAAUGAAAACUAGCUCUGAUGUAUAACGCAAAUGUAGACGAUAACAUGUAGUAAUAGGCUAAGCAAUAGAAGAUAAACUCAAGUCUGUAUCAACCAAUACAAAGAGAAUAAUAGAAGAACUUUUGUGAUAACAACAAGCUUAGAAAGUAAAUACCAGAUCGAAUGAACCCCUUAAUGAUACUUUUGAAAGAAAAAUGGAAAGGUUACUAACUUAUUCACGCAAGGACCCUCUGUUACUCAUGCAACUCCUCAUUUCCCAUUUCUCAGUGUUCAGACUUUCCACUGUAGCAGCACUAAUAAGAAAUUGUUGAUGCCAAAGUCUCCACCUAGGAAAUGGAGGUUGCCAAUCUGGAAAAUGCCGAUAACGUUAAUAAAUGUGAUUAACUUCAUCAUACACCUAGCAAGGGACAUCAUAGCCACGACCACAUCCUCGCUCUUGUCCUUGAAUUCAAGCAGCAGCAGCAUGAACCUCCAUAAGAACAUGACUAUCUUCUAUAGGAAGUAAAGUUGAAGGAUGUGUAACAAAAAGUGGAAGAGGCAACAUUUUAUAAUAUUGUGCCAAGUGAAAAGCAUUGUAAAGAAUGGUUAAAGUAAGUGUAUGCAUAAGUCUUACAAAAUCUUAACAAAAUGUUAGCUACAACAUUCCCAAUUUGAUCCACUUUAAUAUAUUUGGUUCUGCACAAAGUAAAAGGCUUUGAAAACAAAUACUAAAUUACAUCACUGACUCAAAUUGACCUUGAUGAAGACAAUGUAAUUGUUAGAAGGCAUAAUCACAAUUAUCAACAUGUCUAAAUGUGCAUUUAAAGAUAUCUGAAAGAAUGCUCCAAUCCUUAUGAGUGGUUGUGCUCAAACCAUUGUACCAUUGUAAUGCCAUCCUUUAUAGACACUUGGAAACUCACGCAAACGCUAAACAUCUUUCCAAGAAUAAUAUGUGGCAAUCACCAUAAAGUGAUCAAACCAAUAGUACCCAGGAUUCUUAUAGAAGAUCUUUGGCAAUACGUGAAGAUUGGCAACAAGAGCAAGAAAAGUUGUACCAUAUGCCAUGAAUAUCAUUAUCAACUAAGACUGAUUAUUCAAUUGCAACCACAUAACAUUGAGUAAUUACACCAAUUAUUGCAUUAGAGUCAAAAAGGGGAGGAGGGUGCUACUCUACCAUGAAAUGAAUAAAAAGGAAAAAAGCAAAAGAAAAGAAAUUGAAAAAAUUAUAAAGAAAAGGAGAUUUAGACAAUGCAAAAGUUGAAUUUAAAGUAGAAUCCCAAAUCCAAGCACUCCUUUGAGACAAUCAAAAUUGCCCCUCACCUCCACCACGUAUAAAGGAAUCUAGGAGCAGAAGUGCCAACCAUCCUGGAAGAGCCGCAUAAAUUGACAGUCAUGCAGAUAGACUUCGGUCAGAGGCAUGGGAUUCCCAAGCUCAUCUACAAUCUCUCCCUGAAAGUUCUUUGACCUUUGGGAAACUCGAUCUUGUAGUAUCGGUCUUGGACCUCUUCCUGCUCCAGAGAAAAAGCUGGAGAUUUGUAAGUGCUCCUUUGAAUUCUGGAGCAGUCCUUCGAUUCUGCUGGAAAUGAAGGCCAUAGGAAAACGAUGGCCACGACCAGAACCAAAAACUUCCCGUCCAUUUUUUAGCUGCUAUCCACCCCCGCCGUGCUCAACUCACCACAUGGGUCGUAGGACUUCACCUGUAUGCCGUCACCUAUGCUUAGUGGUUUGGACAUCACUUUUAGUCUUACAAGUGCUUGGACGAUUCAGCGACAAUUUCCGUACCAUGAGUCGCUGUCUUCAAUGUGCUUCCUAUGAGCAAUAGACCACACGGCUUCCAUAGACCAGCUCUUGGCCCACAUGCGGUUUGUGGGGAUAUAUCCGAGAUCUCGCGUCCCAGAAGAUCGAUCUUGUCGAAGACAAUCGAGACCUUCCAGAUUGUAUUAGCGGAAUCGCCUCUAGAUUAAGAAAAAUCGAACACAGUUCUUGUUCCAACCUCGCUUGAAAGAAAAAAACCAGAAAAAAUGUAGAACUGUUGUUAUAGAUCAGAUGAAACUGGACUCCGCGGGGGACUGCAGUGGAGUUUUAUUGCACCUCUCUCAAAACUUCUCCGGUUCUUCUUCCUUCUAAAAAAACUCUAAAAAAACACUAAAAAAGUUGAUCUGCACAACCACGAAGUUUAUAGUUCUCAUGAAAUUUUUGAUCUUUCAUAUUCGAACACAUACUCGCAAACUGUGCAGAAGUUUGAUCAUCCUUUUUUCCCCAAAUGUAUAGACAGAUAUGAGCCACAAAUAAUCUUAUCAUGGCAAUGCACUAUAUCCUCC
Molecule: long non-coding RNA, 17614 nt
Filed under: Selaginella moellendorffii
Lineage: Eukaryota; Viridiplantae; Streptophyta; Lycopodiopsida; Selaginellales; Selaginellaceae
Description: long non-coding RNA (SMOE_LNC001609)
Source: RNAcentral